This is a long non-coding RNA of Cryptomeria japonica (Japanese cedar), 8788 nucleotides long. RefSeq lists it as uncharacterized. NCBI's taxonomy places the organism in Eukaryota, Viridiplantae, Streptophyta, Pinopsida, Cupressales, Cupressaceae. The transcript has 5 exons. The record is from RefSeq and is a predicted model, not a curated record.
CUGGGUUUUUAUGGGAUAAAUGUACCUGGACUGACUUGCUUGAAAUAAUGGAGAAUUUUUAUAAGAAUAAGUGGAAUUCUUGUUAUAUAAUGAGGGCUUGAAUUCUUGUAAAUGGUGACAUUCACAUCCUAACAUUGAUUUGAUUUUAUAUGAGGACACUAUUUGUUCUGCAUUCAUCUUAUCCUCUCAGUUUCUCGAUGUUCUUAUCUUCCUUCUCUCAUUUGUCACUGUCUUUUUACGUUUUCCAACAGUUUUCGAACGGCGUUCUCUCAUUUGUCACUGUCUUUUUACAUUUCUCGACAGUUCUAGAACAGCCUUUCUCCAUUUCGGGUAUUUUAUAUUUUGUGAUCUCUCGAAUCUGUGCCUCUAAAUGGGUUUUCAUUGAUUUUAACUUUCUGAUUUCCUUUUUCUUCAGGGAUCUUGUAUAUGGAUGGUUUGAAUGUCUUCUGAUUGUUAUUCUUUUUUCUGCGGGCAUUUUCAUUAUUUUCUAGAGUUUUUUCAUCCCUUUUUUCGGGAUCUCUAAUGGGUAUCUGUACAUUUUACUGUUUAAGUACUGUUGAGAAUUUCUUCGUUGUUUUAUAUAUUCUCUUACCAUUUUUUCUUCACUUUUCCAUAUAUGGGGUUCUCUGAGAUCAGUCUGCAAAUUGUGUUGUUGGGUUAUUUUUCCCGUUGUUUGGUGCAUAUUUUAGCUUUUAAUUUGUUGGGCUUUUGAGAAAGUAGUGUGUAAGUUUGUGUGGUAAUGUCUUUCACUAGAGCCCAGGUGACAACGAGAGAGAGCACGCUAGUAAACAUUCAUAUAUGAGGAAUGACUGUGAACUUGCGUGUUGUCUCUCGUUGUCACUUGAUUUCUAUUUUCAUUAAAUUUUCAGUUUAUGUUAGAAUCAGAUUAAACCCAUCACAGGGAUUCUAUAAAGAUUCGUCAGUUUCUAUAGCAGAUCGAGAAGUGGCAACAGAGGGAAAUGGACGAUCAGCAAUAAUAUUCAUUGUUUUCUCAUAUUGGUGCUGCUAUAAGAGCCGUCACAAUUUUUCUCUGAAGAGGCGAGACUUCCUUCCCAGUUUUCAGUUCAGUUCAGCAAACUGAUUUAGAGAUUAUAGAGGACAUAUUUUCUGGCCAGAAGAAAGGAAGGAAAGGAGGGAAACCCCUGAGCGAUAAUAUGAAUGUCAAUUUUGAAGAUUGAACCAUUGAUCUUUAUGAAAGCCCUCCCAGUAAUAUCUUAGUCUUUGUACGUCCAGACUUAACAGAAUAGAUGGACAUCAGGCUAAGAGAGUUCUUGGAUGAGGAAAAUCAGACUGCAAAAUCCGGAUCACAUUACAGGGGUCAUAAGCUUGGAGGUGUACUUGCCAGGAAAGGAGAUUAAUGAAGCUGCUGAAUAUUGUUUGAUGGAAUAGAGAAGCUGCCGCUAAAAGGAAAAGAUGGUGCCCUAAUCCAAGUGACGAUGAGUUGCAGGUGCAAUUGUUAAAGGAAAAGUCGCAAGAAUACUGGAAAGAGAUUUUAUGUCAGAUUGUUAUCAUAGGCUAGUCCAUCCGUCUCAAGUUUGAUAACCAUAUAAUAUUACAGAUACUUAGAAGCUAUAUGUAUUCAACUAUUAACGAUUGUUGUCACUAAGGGAAAACUAGAGGAAGAUCGUGGCAUUAGAAAAGCCAUUUGAAAUGCUAUCAAAAGCUGAAUCAAGGGCUCGUUAGGAGAAUACUGUCAGUAACGUCCAAAUUGAAUGAGUUUUUUCUCAAAUUGCCAGCCAACCCAAAAGAAAAGAGAAAUUUUCAAAGGCAAAAGUUCACCUAUGAAGGACCAUAGCUAGCAGUGGUGAAUGGGUUAAUUUGAAUAAGAGAGAAGUGCAUACACUAUAGGAAGAAGAUCGAAGCACUUUUGAACUGUCCAAAUCAAAGAUCUCAUUGCCAAAAUUGAAGCCAUAAUUUGAGAGAUUGUAGUAUUUGAAUCAACUAAAAGGAGAUCAAAGCUUCUAUUGAAGCCACCCACAAGUCAAGAAUAUUGAGAAUAUAAAAGGCAUUGAUAUGAGAAAGAAUUGUUUUUUUUUUUUUUUUUUUUUUUUUUUGGGCUGGUUGAGAGAUAUGUAUGGCAGGUAAAAGAAAAUCACAAAAUUUAUGGGAGGCAAAUUUAUUUGAAGAGGAACAUUUGAUAUUACAAUCCUAGUUUUCAAAGAGAUUGAGAAGUUUACCAAAUAAUAUUAAAAGAAUUUUUUGGUAAGAGAAACAAAGUUAUUGUAAUUUUUCUAAAACAUUUGCAAUAUUCUAUGAAGUCUAUAUUAUGUGUUAAAAUUUAAGUCCGAAGAGAUAGAAAGUCGCUAGUGGAUCACUUUAAAUCAUAGAAAAGUGAAGGCAUAUAAAGCUGUCAGAGGAAGGUGAUCUAAAUCAUUGUAAGAAAAUUAUUACCAAGUUUAUAAACAAGAUAAGUUUAAAUAAUUUGUUUUAAUGGGAAAGCAUUGUAAAAGAGCAAAGAAAGAAUAUGAGAAUUUAGUACAUGUGAAUGAUAUUUUGGAAAAUGAAUUGGAGAAAAUUGAAAAGGAAAACGAAGAACUAAAAGAGAAAAAUAGAUCACAAAAUUAAAAAAAAUAUCAAAAUUGAGAGAAGAAACCAAUUUUUCCCAUCAAUUACUUGAAGCAUAUGUAAAGGAAAACCGAUGUCUAAAGUCUAAACCUAUACUAUGCAACAUCUCAUGUGAUACAAAUGAUUUGUACCAUUCAUUAGAUGAACCAUUUUAUAAAUGAGAUAUAGUUAUCGAUCAUUUUGAUGUAAAAGUGUAUGGUUGGAGAUAAAAAAUAUUUGAAUUUAUAGCUUGUUAGAUAGUUCAGAUAACCGGAAGACAACUGAGAGGGGGGGUGAAUCAAUUGUCAUAGAUUACAAGAACAUUCAACAAUUAACACUUUAAUAACAGAAACCAAAACAACAAUACUAGAAUAGCAGUUAAUCUAAUUAAGCAUAAACAAAAAUCACAGAAUAAAAGCCAUCCACACAACACCAAGAUUUGUACAUGAAAAAUCCGGUAAAGGGAAACCCAUGGUGGGAAGCCUACCCACAAUCAGAUAAUACUUCUACAGUAAGUAUGUGAAUUACAAUGAAGGGGCAUGCACUUGCAGGAAGCCCAACAACCUAGAACACACUGCUCAUCACAAAAAGAGUCUCAUUGACUACAUAUAAAUUCAAACUACAAUUCAAAGAAGUGUUGAACUGCAAAAGAUAGCAUCUUCUAUGCCUAAGUACAGUUUCAGUUAAGCUCAAUACUGGAGGAUGAAAUCCUCUUACAUUAACCCAAUUCAUUCUCCAAUGAUCGAUCAAAUCCUCUGCUUGAAUGAUAUUACAUUAUUUGCAUAUUACAUUCCUUGACCAUGACCUCCUACAUUAACCAUGAUGAUCUACAAUGAGAUCUUACAUCUAUGUAUACAAACCCUCGACCAUAAACAAUUAGGUCGACGACUAGACAAUAAAUUAAUUACAUAAUUACAAACCGUGUCGGCCUUAGACCAAACAAGUAAUAACAACACAUAAGACAUUCCAUAAAUACAUCAAUAGGUCCUAUCCACAUAUUACAUUAAAGUCGGUCCAUAACCUAGAUCAACUGAGACCAAGUAUAGGUCCACACACUUCAACAAUGACCUCCAAAUGCCAAGUCUCGAACAUGAUCACCAACAACAUCCUGAAACUCCAUCAGAAGCUGCACCAACACCACUUAUGCAAUUCAUCAAAGAUCUCCACUAAAAGCUCUGUUAGUGAAACCCUCACCUAGACCAAAUUCACCUUUGAUUCUAUCGGCUGCCAGAUAAAGAAAGAGAGUACCAGUCAGAUUGUAGCCGAAGGAAAGAGGACAUAUGGUAAUGUAUAUAAUCUGAAAGAAUAUUUUGAAUCCCAAUGUAUGUUGGGACAAGUGGAUGAAAGCUGGUUGUGGCAUAGAAUAUUAGGCCAUAUAAAUUUUGAUAACUUAGUUGCAGUAAGCAAAAAGGAGAGUGUAAUAAAUAUUCCACCCAUCAUCAAACCAAUAAGCACAUUUUGUGAUGAAUGUGUGAAAGGGAAGUAGACUAAGGUGAGCUUCAGAACAAAAGAACACAACACCUCAAGACCACUUGAAAUUGUACUUACAAAUUUGUGUGGUUCAACUAGGACAAGAGCUCUUCCCGGUGAAAUAUAUUUUAUGCUCUUCAUUGAUGACCAUUCAAGAAUGACAUGGGUCACUUUCCUACAAGAUAAAUCACAAGCAUUUGACAGAUUCAAAAACUUUAAGGAAGAUGGUGGAGAAGGAAAGUGGGUGUAAGUUGAAAUGUCUAAGAUUAGAUCGGGGUGGAGAGUUCACAUCAAAUGAGUUUUAAGAUUACUGUGAAAGACAUGGAAUUAGAAGGCAAUACGCAGCCCCUAGGACACCACAACAAAAUGGUGUGGUAGAAAGAAAGAACAAGAUAGUCAAGGAGAUGGCUAGAACUAUGUUAAAUGAGGCCAGUUUGCUAGACGUAUAUUGGAAGGAAGCAGUUCAUAUUGUUGCAUAUACCUUGAACCGGGUUCAACUAAGAACAAAUAACAUAAUGAUACCUUAUGAGUUAUGGCAUGACUAGAAACCAUCAGUGAAAUAGUUCAAGGUAUUUGGAAGCAAGUGUUUUAUCAAGAGAGAUAUGGAUGGUCUAGGUAGUUUUUAUUUCAAGAGUGAUGAAGGAAUCUUGCUUGGUUACUCAUCAAACAACAAGGCCUAUAAAUGCUACAACAAAAGAAUAAGAAGAGUCAUUGAGAGUGUGCAUGUAAGAGUUGAUGAGGAUAUGCACAAAGGAAGUCAAUCACAAGUAAACUAGUAUGAUGAUUCCAGUGAUGAAGGUGAGGAAGAUCAGUCAGACAAUGAACCAGAAGAAGCAUCCAAAAAGGCUCCUAACCGGUAUGUGUAGAUGAACCACUUGGAAGCAAAUUCUAGGUAAUAAAAGUGAUGGUGUGCAGAAUAGGAGAAGACAUACCCAGAAUGAUGAACAAGUCAACUUCUGCCUCAUGACUGAAGUAGAACCUAAAACAUUCAGUGAGGCUAGCAAAAGACAAGAAUGGAUGGAUGCCAUGGAAGAAGAACUACAACAGAUUGAGAAGAACAAGACUUGGGAAUUAGUCCCUAGAUUGGAAGACAAGAGCAUCAUUGGCACCAAAUAGGUCUACCAGAAUAAGAUGAAUGAAGAAGGUAAAAUUGUUAGGCAUAAAGCUAGACCUGUGUGCAAAGGUUAUUCUAAGUAGAGGGCAUUGAUUUUGAAGAAACAUUUGCACUAAUAGCUAGAUUAGAAGCAAUUAGAAUGUUUCUAGCCUUUUCCGCCUACAAGGUUUAUAAAGUAUAUCAAAUGGAUGUAAAUCUGCCUUCCUAAAUGGGAAUUUAGAAGAAGUGUACAUAGAACAACUAGGAGGGUUUCUGCUACAUGAUGAUGAAACCUUUGUGUGUUAGUUGAAGAAACCCCUGUAUGAUUUAAAGCAAUUUCCUAGAGCAUGGUGAUCAAGGCUAGAUCAUUACCUGAAGGAGAAAUGAUUCAAAAAGGGGAGUGCUGACAACAAUUUAUACAUAAAGAAAGAUGGAAACUACAUGAUCAUUGUGGUUUUGUACUUAGAUGACAUUAUUUUUGGAGGCAAUAAGGACACCCUUUACAAAUAAUUUGCUGAUCUGAUGCAGUUAGAAUUUGAGAUGUCAAUGCUUGGAGAAUUGACAUACUUCCUUGGUUUGCAGAUAUCACAGCAAGACAAGGGAAUCUUUAUCUCACUGAACCAAGUAUGCAAAGGAUAUGUUGAAGAAAUUUAAAAUGGAGGACUGCAAACUGGUAAGUACCCCCAUGGUGACCAGAAGAAAAUUAAGCAAAAAUGAUGAAUCACCGGUGGUAGCAAACAUUGUACAUGAUAGGUAGCCUAUUGUAUCUUACUGCUUCUAGACUAGAUAUAGUGCAUGCAGUGUGCAUGGUGGCCAAAUUUCAAGUUGCACCUAAGUAAUCACAUAUGAAUGUUGUAACCAGAAUUUUUAGGUACCUACAAGGAACAUUCAGUUAUGGAUUGUGGUACCCUAAACAAGAGGAAUUCCUCUUGGAAGCAUAUAUUGAUGCUAAUUGGGUAGGUUUCAUUGAUGACCAAAAGAGAACAAGUGGUGGUGCAUUCUUCCUAGGUGACCGGUUGGUCUCAUGGCAUAGUAAGAAGCAGGAUUCAAUCUCUCUAUCAACUGCUGAAGCAUAAUAUAUUCCUGCUGCUACAUGUUGCUCUCAAGUACUUUGGAUGAAGCAAACCCUCAAGGACAUACAGGUGGACAUCACUAAUCUUAUUCUCAUUCGGUAUGAUAAUUCAAGUGCCAUGAACAUAUCAAAGAAUGCGGUGAUGCAUUCCAGGACAAAUCAUAUAGCCAUCAAGUAUCAUUUCCCCAAAGAGAAGGUUGAAGGAUAGGAAGUAAAGAUGGACUAUGUCCCUAUAGGAGAACAAGUGGCAGAUAUUUUCACCAAACCAUUGUCGAUAAACACUUUUGAGUACUUAAGACACAAGUUGGGAGUUGUGUCACCUGCCUUAUGCACUUAAGUUAGUAAGGAAUUAUAUGGUCCAGGGGGAGUUCAUAGUAGCAUCUAUAACUCUUGAACCACAUGUUGAUCAUAAGGAAAGUUCGAGGCUGUAUGUCGCAGUACCAGUUCUAAUCACUAGUAUCAGUCUAAGGGGGAAAUAGGUAUGAAUCAAAGGGGAAGUAUACAUUACCCUUUGUCAUUGUGUCAAAGGGGGAUAAAUCUACCAAUAUGAAGUAUUGCAGUAAGUUGACAUGAAUGACAAAGGGGGAGAUUGUUGGUAUUAUUAGCAUUAAGUUGUCAUUGAUGUCAACUAGUUUGGCAUAGUCAGUGGUGUGUAGGAAGUGGUGACUAGUAUAAGAAAUCUAAGUCAUAUGAUGUCAAUCCAUGUGUGAGUAAGAACACAAAAGGAAGGUUACUAAUACAUAUGAAUUAUGUCAUCUGUUGGUAAAGCAGGCUUACCGGUAAGGCAUAAACUGGUAUGAAGGCUAGUUGUUUGUUUGUGAUGAAGAGGCAGAAUUUUAUAUAAAUCACAACAACAUGUGGUGAAAAGAACAAAAAGAAUGGCAUGAAGAUAUAUCGAAAGGCAAGAUGAAUUGUCAGGAGGAUGUGUUGUCGGUAAGAGUGAUUGUUUAGUUUGUUAGUUUUAUCAAUAAGGUGAAUUGAACCGGUAGUCAAUCUUGGUCAAUAAAGAAUGUCAAACCGACAUAGAAAACCAAGUAGAGGUGUAUGUCGACAAAGAUGAAAGCUAGAAGCCAGGUGGCAAUAAAGCACAGGUUGGUGAAGUGUGCAUCGAUGUAACAGUCAACAAGCAAAUCAACUUUUAUGAAGAACCAACAAGUCAUGGAGGAUGCCAGAAGAUUGUGGCUCGCGGAAGACAAGCUGGCAUGUGAUUGAACUCAUCCUGCAUGGAGAUUUGAUCUUUGUGCCCAUUUGCUAAAGGAAACAACUGAGCCAUUAAUGGCAUAUGACAGAGAAAAGCAGAAAAGCAUGGUGCAGACCUCCAAAUUUAGAAAACGCACAUUGGAAUGCAAGGCAUUGGUGGUGCUGAUCGAUGAUAUGAAGAUCAUAUCCCUGGAAAAGAAGAUCAAAUCAAAUCCAAUAUGGAUUGAGUUGGUGAAGGAAAAACCUAACACGACACUGUUUGAAUGUAGAUUUUGGAGGGAACCUUAGAUGAUAAAUAUGUGAGCUCGAGACAGAAAUCAUUGAUGCUUAAUAUGAAGAAUGAGAUAGAAGAGAGAUUGAGCAAGGAGAAAAAUCAUCUUCCUUAGAAUUUAUUCUAAGAAAUUUGUAGAGUAAGUUAGCAGGAGAACCGGUGAGAGGGUUUAACCAAUAGAGAUAGGAUAACCGGUAAACUAUUGCAGGUCUAAUAGUUAAGCUAACCGGUGAGGUGUAAUUGAUCAAGAAGGCAUCCAACUGUGACAUAAUGUGUUGUGAGACUGAGAUAGAAAGAAGAUAGGACAAGAAUUAGAGAGAUUAAUUUGAUAACCAAUAGUGUGAGAUCCAGUGAAGAAGAGAAGGUUGUUAACCGACAGAAAUCUAUUGAUCAAGUGUUGCAUAACUCAUUUGCAACUAGAUGCUAUAACUGUAACAAAAUUGUAUUUCAUUACACAUCACCAAGUUGGAGCUUGGUGCACUAGGGGUUCGUGCUCCUUGGGUUUGUGCCCUAAUUCAUUGUAAUUCAUUGUUUCACUUGUGAGGCCGGAUUGGAGCAGUAGACUCCGACAACAUUUCUCACCAAGAUUUUUUCCAUAUUGGUUUUUCCUCGUACAUCUGGUGUUGUGGGUUGCGCUUGUGUGAUUGUCUCUUUUGAUAUCCACAGUUGUCUUAUCGAUUUGAUUGUUUAGUGUUUAGGGUGAUAACCGGUGGGUUAGUGCAAGAAGAUGAGUCCACUUUUUGGCCAAAAAGUGGAAGUGUUUUCCCUGAUUUUCAAAUUUUGUCUCAUUUGAGCUUAAAUUUUGAAACACUUAGAGAUUGAAUCUUGGAAAAAGUCAAUAAUAUAAAAGAUAGCCCUCUAAGUGUACUUUCCAAAUAUGUAAUUUAUUUUAAUACCCACAUAAUAAAAAAUAACUUUUUGAAUGGAGUUUUGAAAACUAUGUUUUAAAAAUGUCUGUUUCAAGACCAUACCAUGCAUGUGUACGGCCCACACUUUUUGACACAAUUAAAAUUAUUUUCUCAAACCAUUUUGGGAAAUGGUUUGUAACACACUGAAGAUUGAUGAGCAUAUUUUUCUGUAUUUUUUUUCUAAUAUUUUUUUUUAAUUAAUUUUUUAAUGGCCGUAAUUAUCUUUUUAA